This 253-nucleotide ribosomal RNA is filed under the name uncultured bacterium. RNAcentral's name for it is "partial 16S ribosomal RNA". It matches the Rfam family "Bacterial small subunit ribosomal RNA", at positions 524 to 776 of the family's 1533-position model. The record is from RNAcentral.
UACGGGGGGGGCAAGCGUUGUUCGGAAUUACUGGGCGUAAAGGGCUCGUAGGCGGCCAACUAAGUCAGGCGUGAAAGCCCCGGGCUCAACCUGGGAACCGCGCUUGAGACUGGCACGCUCGAGUUCGGGAGAGGAUGGUGGAAUUCCCAGUGUAGAGGUGAAAUUCGUAGAUAUUGGGAAGAACACCGAUGGCGAAGGCAGCCAUCUGGACCGACACUGACGCUGAGGCGCGAAAGCGUGGGGAGCAAACAGG